Molecule: non-coding RNA, 30 nt
Filed under: Macaca fascicularis (crab-eating macaque)
Lineage: Eukaryota; Metazoa; Chordata; Mammalia; Primates; Cercopithecidae
Also listed under: 1 other name
Source: RNAcentral
UCCUCUGGCUUGGUUCCUUACAAUCCAACU